This is a long non-coding RNA of Etheostoma spectabile (orangethroat darter), 132 nucleotides long. RefSeq lists it as uncharacterized. The record is from RefSeq and is a predicted model, not a curated record. Lineage: Eukaryota; Metazoa; Chordata; Actinopteri; Perciformes; Percidae. The transcript is spliced from 3 exons.
UUUGUGUUUGGUGCUGACUGUUUGGAUUAACAAAGGCUUAAGUUUGCCAGUUGGCGGCACAAAUGAAAGACAUGAUUAUGAGCGGCAGAGGAGAAUGAUUAAGAUGUGUCUCCCAAUGAUCUCUCCAUGAAG